CUACGGGUCGCACCAGUGGGGAAUUUUGCGCAAUGGGGGAAACCCUGACGCAGCAAUACCGCGUGAGUGAAGAAGGCCUUCGGGUCGUAAAGCUCUUUUCUUGGGGAAGAUAGUGACGGUACCCAAGGAAUAAGCACCGGCUAACUCCGUGCCAGCAGCCGCGGUAAUACGGAGGGUGCAAGCGUUGUUCGGAUUUACUGGGCGUAAAGGGCACGUAGGCGGCACAGCAAGUUAAGGGUGAAAUCCCGGGGCUCAACUCCGGAACUGCUCUUAAAACUGCUGAGCUAGAGAUAGUCAGAGGCGGGUGGAAUUCCAGGUGUAGAGGUGAAAUUCGUAGAUAUCUGGAGGAACACCGGUGGCGAAGGCGGCCCGCUGGGGCUAUUCUGACGCUAAGGUGCGAAAGCGUGGGGAGCAAACGGGAUUAGAUACCCGAGUAGUC
RNAcentral lists this ribosomal RNA (439 nucleotides) under uncultured bacterium. RNAcentral describes it as "partial 16S ribosomal RNA". It matches the Rfam family "Bacterial small subunit ribosomal RNA", at positions 339 to 795 of the family's 1533-position model. The record is from RNAcentral.